Molecule: long non-coding RNA, 507 nt
Filed under: Phoenix dactylifera (date palm)
Lineage: Eukaryota; Viridiplantae; Streptophyta; Magnoliopsida; Arecales; Arecaceae
Description: long non-coding RNA (PDAC_LNC010241)
Source: RNAcentral
UGCAUGGAGUUGGAGACGGCAGCAGCAGCAUAGCAGCGGGCUCCCAUCUCUCCCUCUUGCGAUUCCCUUGAGAACGGCUCCUUCUUAGCUCUUAGGGAAAGUUAUUCCCAAAAUAACCAAGAAACCUUCUCUCUCUUUCCUUUCUCUCAUUUUUUAUUCUCUCAUGGGAUUCGGCUCACUCCCUCCCCUGUUUCUUCUUCUCCCGUGGGAAACUUGGCUUCUCUCCUCCUCCCCGAAGAUGCUCUCCCGAAGAAAAUAACUCCUCUUUAUAUAGGCUCUCCCUCCCUCUCUAUUCUCGGUUGAGAUGAGGAUGAAUCACGUAAAAGACGCAGGAGGUUGCUGGGAAUGGAUCUUAUCCGGGAGAAGAUUGGGAUGAUCUGUGGUCAAUGGAAUCCGUGGACGAGGAAGUCGGUGAGCUGGGAACUGGAAUUCGUUGGCUGAAGUCGGCUUGAUCCUUGGAGCUCGGAUGGCGAGGAUGUGGAGCAAGGAUCUCGGUUGAUGGAUGAU